This is a long non-coding RNA of Acanthopagrus latus (yellowfin seabream), 666 nucleotides long. RefSeq lists it as uncharacterized. The record is from RefSeq and is a predicted model, not a curated record. The transcript is spliced from 3 exons. NCBI's taxonomy places the organism in Eukaryota, Metazoa, Chordata, Actinopteri, Spariformes, Sparidae.
GGACGCGGGGCAGAGGGGAUGUCAAAGCUUUUAUUCACCGGCUUUUAGAAAGCUCUCUAUUCCACGCCACUGCAUUUCCCUCUCCGCAGAGCUGAGAGCCCGUCUGCUCUGAGAAAAUAACCUCCGGCCUCCGCGCCGCCUCGCAAACAAACCAGCAUCGCGCACGCUGCUGCUCCCUGCUCGAAAGGGCCCAAUGAGAUACAGCAUAUAUCCAAUUUAGAGAGGCAGGAGAGGUUCAUCAAUUCAUGCUGCUGGUGCCUAUUUACAACUACGCUGUAAUCAAUUUGGACAGCUGCAAAGUAACAGCAGUGGGAGCAGGACCUGGUGCAGACCUCACAGUCUGGUACAGGAGGAAUUGGCCCCAUCGGGAAUAAAAGUAGAGGUAAUUCUGGGCCUGUCUGUGCCCGACACCUGACAUGGUUUGGGAUUUUUUUUUCCCCUCGUCCGACUGGAGCUGAAACACCUGCCGCGACUUCUGGGGAGUUUUGUUCACAUGUCAGUCCAUCCAGACACCCAGUGCUGUUUCAACUGUCACAACACAGCAGAGACUGAGGUCCUGUCUACUAAUUUCAUGUCAAAAUGGAAGGAGACUGGACCCCCUCCAAUUUUGGUGGUUUGGCUAAACAUCGUAACUAUAUCUUUCAAUAAAAACAUAACUCAAGUCGA